GGGGGGGGCAAGCGUUGUUCGGAAUUACUGGGCGUAAAGGGCUCGUAGGUGGCCAACUAAGUCAUACGUGAAAUCCCUCAGCUUAACUGGGGAACUGCGCCUGAUACUGGUUGGCUUGAGUUUGGGAGAGGGACGCGGAAUUCCAGGUGUAGCGGUGAAAUGCGUAGAUAUCUGGAGGAACACCGGUGGCGAAGGCGGCGUCCUGGACCAAUACUGACACUGAGGAGCGAAAGCCAGGGGAGCAAACGGGAUUAGAUACCCCGGUAGUCCUGGCCCUAAACGAUGAAUGCUUGGUGUGGCGGGUAUCGAUCCCUGCCGUGCCGAAGCUAACGCAUUAAGCAUUCCGCCUGGGGAGUACGGUCGCAAGG
This 368-nucleotide ribosomal RNA is filed under the name uncultured bacterium. Its description in RNAcentral is "bacterial SSU rRNA". It matches the Rfam family "Bacterial small subunit ribosomal RNA", at positions 527 to 893 of the family's 1533-position model. The record is from RNAcentral.